Long non-coding RNA from Rhinopithecus roxellana (golden snub-nosed monkey), 456 nucleotides. RefSeq lists it as uncharacterized. NCBI's taxonomy places the organism in Eukaryota, Metazoa, Chordata, Mammalia, Primates, Cercopithecidae. The transcript has 2 exons. The record is from RefSeq and is a predicted model, not a curated record.
AAACUACUGCACCAGUCAGAGGCACCAAGCCUGUCUCCAACCCAUCACCAUCCAUUAGCAGAUAUAGUAGGCAACCUUGGCCUGCUUUGGCCUUCCAGGAGAAGAUUUGGGUCCACUUGCAACAUCACAGGUCCUCAUUUUUCUUCUUUGAUGGCCAGUCAGGAGACUGGAGAAAUGCAGUUCAGCUGACUCUUGAAGUCAUUAGACAUUCGGGAGUCUGCCUCGGAAUGAGCUUUUGGCAGAGGGAUCUUGAGGCCAGUUAUGUGUUCUACUCUUCAUGAAAAAGUAAAAGCAAUUUGCAACCUAGUAAACUGAUUUCACUGCACACUCCUGAGUUAAGAACAGCAAUUUGAUUUUGCUGUAUCUUUAAGCAACAUGACAAAAGAGAUCUGUUGGGUCUCAUUGUUCUAAAAGAGAAUUUGUUAGUGAAUAACAACUGAACCUUCAGGGGAAAAA